AACCCUCGGUACAAAAAAAUCGUACAACAAAUUAGCAAUUCUACACUUUAGUCCACUCAACCAUCUCUCCCCAAAUUGAAAAAGGAUAAUUGUAUGAUACAUGUAUAAAAAAAGAAAAUAAAGGCUUGAAAAUCAAGCUAGCUCCGACACGGAGGAAACCGCAGGAAAAGACUUUCUCCUUAAUGGUACACACGAGUCGAGCUGCAGCUUAAUCUAAGACUACAUUAGUGGGGAAAUCCUGUCCAGUACUAAUAUACUAUGUGAUUUGAUGAUUAUAAAACGAACCAUGUCGAACAAGGCUUAGUUUCUUCUUUCUGACACACUGCUCUACUUAGGCGUACUAAAUGCAAAGAGUUGUGACUGAGUUCCAUGUUCUAUCAAAUAGUCUUGAAAUCUCAAGUUCACGUACUCUCCACCUCAAUUUGAUCGAAAUAUCUUUAUAGUUUUACCGAAUCUCAACGUCAACCUUAUAUUCUCUAAACUUUUCAAGAGAAUCAUAUCUGCAAUGCAAUAGGUAAACAUGACCGAACCUUGAAUAAUCAUAAAAAAAAAUUGAUGAAAUAUUCAUAUCGUUCUUAAACUUUGACAAUCAUUGGUCCAUAGAGGUAUGAAUGUAUGACCUCUGAUAGUAUUUUGAUUCUGAGACCUUUUCUGAUAAAAGAUUUUCUGAUAAAAGAUUUUUUGACAAUCAUUGGUCCAUAGAGGUUCGAAUGUAUGACCUCUCAUAGUAUUUUGGUUCUAAGACCUUUUCUGGUAAAAGAUUUUUUUUUGGUCAUUAUACUUUUUAAGGUAAGGCUUACAUAAAGGUAAAGAGUUAUCUUCUAACUAAUUGAAAAGUCUACUCUUAACCAAACUCCCAAUGUGAUCGAAUCUUAAGUACCAUAUAGAUAUUAGAAGAAACAUUUUCAUAGUCCAAGUGGAAGUUUGUUGGACUUUAUGUUUAGGGGAGUUUGUUGUGGUUUAAGUUACAUUCUAUCCAAUAUAGUAGUUAUUGAGGACUUAUUAAUGAAAAUAUAAUACUAUAAUCUUCAAUCCAAUAAACUAAGGUCUCGAGGCUAUCUAGUACAGGUACCGAAGUACACCUCACGUUUGACUUACUAUUUUGAUUGCCUAUUGUGUCAUAUGUAAAUCGCAUCAUAUGGUAGUGGCCGCUGUCAGCUCACAGAGCAUGUAGAGUUAAACGAGCAAAGUGAAGUGUAGUUUUUGAGAUUUGUAUAUUUUCAGUAUAAAGAAACUCUUGUACUGUAAAAAAUAUACUAUUUUAUUAGAAAUCAAUGAAGUCAUGUUAUUUCAAAUUGAGUUCUCACCUCGUGUUAAGUUGUUUGGGUUAAUCCGCUUACUAGGUGUUUGCGUGCUAUCUCGCAGGGAGAUUCGCAAUCGUGCUCCUCAUGGUCGCAUGCAGUGAUCAUGGGACGGGGAGUGACAUGUUGCCUGAAUUCAAUUGUUAAUUCAUCUUAUUCUCGGUAGAGAUUGCCUAGAGAUUACCCCAAGUUUUAGGAGAAAUUAUUGAUUUUGUUUUGUUAUGUGAGUUUUAUGUUUUUGCAGAUGCUUUUUGUCAACAAAAUCAAUACUAAAGACUUCUUCCUAUCUAAUUUGACUUGUUGUUCACAUGUGGUAAAAAUCGUCUCAAACAUAAAACAAUAGUUAUCAUUGGUGUUCGUUAUGCGUCAAGAGUUCUCUAAUAAAAAACCUUCUUUCAGUUCUGUGAAAAACAUAACUGAAAAAGAAGAAGAAAAGGGAAACCUGAGAGACAGAGAGACCAUCGUUGAGGAACUCGCCACUGUCAUCGUGCUCGCUGCCGUUCACCGUCCUACCAUUUGUCGUCAUCUGCCGCUGCUGCUCAUCAUUCUACAAUGGUUCGUGCUUGAUUUCACAGAUCAAGCAUUUACUCAAUUUGUUUAGCAUCAAAUGUUGAGCACGUGGAAAGGGUUUAGGGGAGACAACCAUAGGCAUAUCAAGAAGUUUAGCGACCUUGAAGAAGCACGUGCCAACCCACCGUAAAGAUUGGUGAAUCGUGUAGAAGAUUGGCAAUUUCUCUACGAUCAUUACUUGAGUCGAAAAUUUUAGGUGAUUUACAUCUUCUACUUUUCCUUCAAGAUACUUCAUUUUUGUUGUUUUGAUGUAACAUAUUGAUUGUUUGUAUGUAGGAACAAUUAAGGACCAACAAGGUUGCUAGUAGUGAGUCCAAAUCGUUCCUAGAACAACAAGAUGAGCUCACAAAACAAUGAGGUCACCCAGUGGACCUAGUGGAGUUGUUUGGAGAAACACACGCCAUUAGAAGUGGCCAAUUCGUUUUAUAGGCGCCCGCAGAUGCGCAUAAUUGAAUGCUGGAACUCCAGUUCCAAACCACUUCAAAAUGUUCUCAACCGCUCUCUAGAGACGAGAUAUGCGAGACCAUUUUGGGUAGACAAUCGGGCUACUCAAAAGGUUUUGGUUGAGGCCCCAAGCCCAAGUCCCAAAAGGCUGGUAGUAGCUCUUUGUCUUCAUAUGAGCAAGAGAUGCACUCGAGAGAGGUUAGGGAACUAAGAGCUAGUUUUGAAAACGCUCAACGAUGAAUUGAGGAACAACGAAGAACGUCAGAGUUGCAUACCCAACAAAUGAAAGAAAUGAAGAGAAGAUGAUCGAGGAAAUGAGUCGGGCACAGAGAAGAGAAUUUGGGCUUGUGGGAAUAUGGCGCCCACGAAGAUUAGAAGAUUCUACAUUUUUUUUUAAAUUUUCUAUGUAAUUUCUUUUUCUGAAUUUCUAAUUGUUGAAUAUUUGGGUUUAGUUUUUAAUAUAAAUACAAUUUGGUAUGUUAA
Long non-coding RNA from Cucumis melo (muskmelon), 2798 nucleotides. RefSeq lists it as uncharacterized. The transcript has 4 exons. NCBI's taxonomy places the organism in Eukaryota, Viridiplantae, Streptophyta, Magnoliopsida, Cucurbitales, Cucurbitaceae. The record is from RefSeq and is a predicted model, not a curated record.